UGGGGAAUUUUGGACAAUGGGCGAAAGCCUGAUCCAGCAAUGCCGCGUGUGUGAAGAAGGCCUUCGGGUUGUAAAGCACUUUUGUCCGGAAAGAAAUCCUUGGCUCUAAUACAGUCGGGGGAUGACGGUACCGGAAGAAUAAGCACCGGCUAACUACGUGCCAGCAGCCGCGGUAAUACGUAGGGUGCAAGCGUUAAUCGGAAUUACUGGGCGUAAAGCGUGCGCAGGCGGUUUGCUAAGACCGAUGUGAAAUCCCCGGGCUCAACCUGGGAACUGCAUUGGUGACUGGCAGGCUAGAGUAUGGCAGAGGGGGUAGAAUUCCACGUGUAGCAGUGAAAUGCGUAGAGAUGUGGAGGAAUACCGAUGGCGAAGGCAGCCCCCUGGGCCAAUACUGACGCUCAUGCACGAAAGCGUGGGGAGCAAACAGGAUUAGAUACCCUGGUAGUCCACGCCCUAAACGAUGUCAACUAGUUGCUGGGGAUUCAUUUCCUUAGUAACGUAGCUAACGCGUGAAGUUGACCGCCUGGGGAGUACGGUCGCAAGAUUAAACUC
RNAcentral lists this ribosomal RNA (552 nucleotides) under uncultured bacterium. Its description in RNAcentral is "partial 16S ribosomal RNA". It matches the Rfam family "Bacterial small subunit ribosomal RNA", at positions 355 to 902 of the family's 1533-position model. The record is from RNAcentral.